GAUUGAAGGCUGAAAUUCGCCUUCAUGAAGCUGGAAUUGCUAGUAAUGGCAGGUCAGCAUACUGCCGUGAAUACGUUCCCGGGCCUUGUACACACCGCCCGUCACACCAUGAGAGUUGGGAAUACCCGAAGCCUGUGAGCUAACUUAUAGAGGCAGCAGUCGAAGGUAGAAUCAAUGAUUGGGGUGAAGUCGUAACAAGGUAAC
RNAcentral lists this ribosomal RNA (204 nucleotides) under uncultured bacterium. Its description in RNAcentral is "partial 16S ribosomal RNA". It matches the Rfam family "Bacterial small subunit ribosomal RNA", at positions 1296 to 1500 of the family's 1533-position model. The record is from RNAcentral.